AAGAAAAAGCCAAGGGGUCUGAAUACUUUCCGAAUGCACUGUAUGCUACUCUGACAUGUAGAGUAAGGAAUCAUGUCGGCUCUGUUGAUGGCAUUUCUAACCGUUGGACAACUUUCAGUACAUUGCACCAUCCUGUCCUGAACGUGACCCAGGAUAUUGCAUCUGUCACAUGGAGACAGAACACUGUAGAAUCUCUCCACCAGGGGGCAGCCAACCCUUUAUACAUCUAUGUGGUCUGAAAAGCCACAUCUUUUGCACGCUUAUUUUGCGAGAGAGAGAGAGCAAAUAUGUGUCCCACUGCAUUCGGAGUGACAGAGUUGAUCAGAUGUCUGAGUUUUGACAGAGUUUGGGUAUGUGUUGUUAGAUCAAACCUUUUUCUGUAUCCAAAAGGGGUCAUCAAGACUUCUAUAGCCUCCAGAAAUCACUUUUAUCUGGUUUAAGAUGUAGUGGUUAAGCAGUGCCGUUUGUGUAACCUUUUACGACCUUAGUCACCUCUGAUAGAUACUGCUGAAUUGUAGUUUCAUUAGUCUUUGCAUUAAAUGCCCCUGUGACGAACCCCAAGUUGCUUAACAGGAGGACAAAAAGGGAAGAGAAUGGUUUGGAUAGUUUCAGUGGACAUGUCGUUUUUUUCCCUGUUAUGAUGCUGUUCCUAUCACUUUUGCUCUCACUAACAGGUAAAUACUUAUCUUGGAAUUUGCAUUUGUGUAUUUACAGUGUACUAUGUGAAUUAUACAUGAAUAUAUUGUGGGUUAGUACAUUGUCUGUAAAACACGUGAUUGUAUAGUCAGAGGAAUUGUUCGUUAUAGUACAAUCAUGACAAGCCAUUGGUGCUGAAAAACUGUCCAGUAGGAGCCUGCUAAGUCCUGAAUGAGACCGAGGUUACUGGAUACCUGGGUGACACAGUAACCAUCUUCUGUCAUUAUGAAAAAUUCUAUAAGCAUCGUAUUACGGAAUGGUGCAGGGGCAAGAAAAUCGUCAUGUGUGAGCGGCUGGCUGACACCCAAGGUUUCAAGCGGGGAUUCUCCAUGUCACUAUGAGUAACCUCACGGCAGAGGACGAGGACUGGUAUUUGUGUGUUGUAUCCUGGUCCGUCUACAAGGACAUUUACUAUCCAGUUCAUCUCUAUCUCAAACCAGGUCCUAACCAGAGCCAAGGUACAUGGUACUGGUCACUCCUCCUAGCCAGCCAGCCAGCCAGACCGACCAGACACCCCAGUCAAAUGGCCCACAGCAGGACGUGACCGCCGUCUGUCUGCAGCAAAUCAACAGCACGAGCAUCUCAUACAAUGAGAGAGAGACACAAAGACAAAGUGUGUUGCAAUGUUAUUCAGUUCGUUUGUGAUACUGUGUCAUACCACACACACAGAUGACUCACCUUGACAUGACCCUGCUGGGCUGGCCCUCUUGCUCAGACAUGAGAAUGGUUUAUAUGGACGGUCACCAGAUGGAUUCUCUUUGCCAUCCUGCUAGCCUGCACUGUGACUGCUUCAAGCCCUGCACCCUUCACUCCCUGGUUGAGUUGCCCUUACCGAUUGGCUAAUGUCAGGUAUUCUCCUUUCCCCAUAAGAUUAAGGUUUGGAUUGGGGUUAGGGUAAUCUGAUCCUAGAUCUGUGGUUAGAGGCAACUUUUCAAAUUCUUACUACACUGGACAAGGAAAGAACCAGAACCUUGGCCGUGAAUGACCUUUGACCUCCUCUCUUACAGUAUAUGAAUCGUCAGCACAAGCUGGGCAAAGUACUGCCACUGUUUUCCACCUCAGUUUGCUCUGUUUACAGAAUCAACGGCACACUCUGCCAAAGACAAACUGAUAUAGACACUGUGGAUUAUGUCAGCAAGUCCACAGUGGUUACAAAAUAAAUGGAAGAUGUGGUGCUGAAGGCUGGACUAAUCUGUAUAUUGACUUAUUAGGCGUAUGUGACAUUCAGCUUUGUCCAUUCAGACAGAGAAUUUAUUUGAUUGUUGUUGUUGACUUAUGUCAAUUCCACAGCUUGUCAGUUCAACAUAGAGAUAGUGAUCACACUAUGCAACAUAUGCCAAAGCAGACAGCUCUGUGCGCUCGCUCGGUAGGCCUAGAAAUACACCAUAUAUACAAAAGUAUGUGGACACCCCUUCGAAUUAGUGGAUUCGGCUAUUUCAGCCACACCCGUUGCUGA
Long non-coding RNA from Salvelinus namaycush (lake trout), 2152 nucleotides. RefSeq lists it as uncharacterized. NCBI's taxonomy places the organism in Eukaryota, Metazoa, Chordata, Actinopteri, Salmoniformes, Salmonidae. The record is from RefSeq and is a predicted model, not a curated record. The transcript is spliced from 3 exons.